RNAcentral lists this ribosomal RNA (199 nucleotides) under uncultured bacterium. Its description in RNAcentral is "partial 16S ribosomal RNA". It matches the Rfam family "Bacterial small subunit ribosomal RNA", at positions 1294 to 1500 of the family's 1533-position model. The record is from RNAcentral.
CGGAUCGGAGUCUGNAACCCGACUCCGUGAAGCUGGAUUCGCUAGUAAUCGCGCAUCAGCCAUGGCGCGGUGAAUACGUUCCCGGGCCUUGUACACACCGCCCGUCAAGCCAUGGGAGCCGGGGGUGCUUGAAGUGCGUCGCCGCAAGGCGCGCCCUAGAGCAAAACCGGUGACUGGGGCUAAGUCGUAACAAGGUAAC